GGGUUGUGAGGUUAAGCGACUAAGCGUACACGGUGGAUGCCCUGGCAGUCAGAGGCGAUGAAGGACGUGCUAAUCUGCGAUAAGCGUCGGUAAGGUGAUAUGAACCGUUAUAACCGGCGAUUUCCGAAUGGGGAAACCCAGUGUGAUUCGUCACACUAUCAUUAACUGAAUCCAUAGGUUAAUGAGGCGAACCGGGGGAACUGAAACAUCUAAGUACCCCGAGGAAAAGAAAUCAACCGAGAUUCCCCCAGUAGCGGCGAGCGAACGGGGAGGAGCCCAGAGCCUGAAUCAGUGUGUGUGUUAGUGGAAGCGUCUGGAAAGGCGCGCGAUACAGGGUGACAGCCCCGUACACAAAAAUGCACAUGCUGUGAGCUCGAUGAGUAGGGCGGGACACGUGGUAUCCUGUCUGAAUAUGGGGGGACCAUCCUCCAAGGCUAAAUACUCCUGACUGACCGAUAGUGAACCAGUACCGUGAGGGAAAGGCGAAAAGAACCCCGGCGAGGGGAGUGAAAAAGAACCUGAAACCGU
This 528-nucleotide ribosomal RNA is filed under the name Escherichia coli. Its description in RNAcentral is "partial 23S ribosomal RNA". It matches the Rfam family "Bacterial large subunit ribosomal RNA", at positions 1 to 559 of the family's 2925-position model. The record is from RNAcentral. Lineage: Bacteria; Pseudomonadati; Pseudomonadota; Gammaproteobacteria; Enterobacterales; Enterobacteriaceae.